UAGGGUUUAGGUUAAUAUAUAAACCAAGAGUUUUCAAAACUUUAAAUGGGUGUUAAACCCUCCCAACCCUAA
This 72-nucleotide transfer RNA is filed under the name Pterolebias phasianus. RNAcentral describes it as "tRNA-Trp". It matches the Rfam family "tRNA". Rfam says of the family: Transfer RNA (tRNA) molecules are approximately 80 nucleotides in length. Their secondary structure includes four short double-helical elements and three loops (D, anti-codon, and T loops). Lineage: Eukaryota; Metazoa; Chordata; Actinopteri; Cyprinodontiformes; Rivulidae. The record is from RNAcentral.